GAUGAACGCUGGCGGCGCGCCUAAUACAUGCAAGUCGAGCGAGAAGACGUAGCAAUACGUUUGUAAAGCGGCGAACGGGUGAGGAAUACAUGGGUAACCUACCCUAGAGUGGGGAAUAACUAGCCGAAAGGUUAGCUAAUACCGCGUACGCUCCUUGGACUUCGGUUCAGGGAGGAAAGCGAUACCGAGGGUAUCGCGCUCUUGGAUGGGCUCAUGUCCUAUCAGCUUGUUGGUGAGGUAACGGCUCACCAAGGCUUCGACGGGUAGCUGGUCUGAGAGGACGAUCAGCCACACUGGCACUGCGACACGGGCCAGACUCCUACGGGAGGCAGCAGUAAGGAAUAUUGCGCAAUGGGCGAAAGCCUGACGCAGCGACGCCGCGUGGGGGAGUGAA
RNAcentral lists this ribosomal RNA (394 nucleotides) under uncultured bacterium. Its description in RNAcentral is "bacterial SSU rRNA". It matches the Rfam family "Bacterial small subunit ribosomal RNA", at positions 28 to 413 of the family's 1533-position model. The record is from RNAcentral.